CCUACGGGUGGCUGCAGUCGAGAAUCAUUCACAAUGGGGGAAACCCUGAUGGUGCGACGCCGCGUGGGGGAAUGAAGGUCUUCGGAUUGUAAACCCCUGUCAUGUGGGAGCAAAUUAAAAAGAUAGUACCACAAGAGGAAGAGACGGCUAACUCUGUGCCAGCAGCCGCGGUAAUACAGAGGUCUCAAGCGUUGUUCGGAAGCACUGGGCGUAAAGCGUGCGUAGGCUGUUUCGUAAGUCGUGUGUGAAAGGCGCGGGCUCAACCCGCGGACGGCACAUGAUACUGCGAGACUAGAGUAAGGGAGGGGGAACCGGAAUUCUCGGUGGAGCAGUGAAAUGCGUAGAUAUCGAGAGGAACACUCGUGGCGAAGGCGGGUUCCUGGACAUUAACUGACGCUGAGGCACGAAGGCCAGGGGAGCGAAAGGGAUUAGAUACCCCGGUAGUC
RNAcentral lists this ribosomal RNA (446 nucleotides) under uncultured bacterium. Its description in RNAcentral is "partial 16S ribosomal RNA". It matches the Rfam family "Bacterial small subunit ribosomal RNA", at positions 338 to 795 of the family's 1533-position model. The record is from RNAcentral.